CGCUGGAGCACCGGAGCUCCCCCUUUAAACACUAAUGGCAUUCUCUCAACCAACUUUAUGAAGUAGUCACCUGGAAUGGUUUUCAGGACAAGGUCAAGUGGUAGCAACAAAACUAUGCAACGCCUGCCAAUUUAGGUUCUUAUCAAGCUGUUUGUUCACCAUGGCCUACACUGCCGAAUGUCAAGAAAACUCAUACUGUGGAGUCUCUAACUACACAUUAGGAAACACGAUUACGUUUUUCAAAUAUGGAUGCAUUGAAGCAACAAGCUGCAACCAAACCCUAUCAGGUUCAGGAUUGCUCAAAUCAAUCACUAUCAACAACACCUGCUGCAACA
Molecule: long non-coding RNA, 335 nt
Organism: Hyla sarda
Lineage: Eukaryota; Metazoa; Chordata; Amphibia; Anura; Hylidae
Exons: 3
Source: RefSeq, a predicted model, not a curated record